CCUACGGGUGACAGCAGUGAGGAAUAUUGGUCAAUGGGCGCGAGCCUGAACCAGCCAAGUCGCGUGAGGGAGGACGGCCCUACGGGUUGUAAACCUCGUUUGCCGGGGAGCAACGGGCGUCACGUGUGGCGCCACUGAGAGUACCCGGAGAAAAAGCAUCGGCUAACUCCGUGCCAGCAGCCGCGGUAAUACGGAGGAGGCGAGCGUUAUCCGGAUGUAUUGGGUUUAAGGGGUGCGUAGGCGGAUCGUUAAGUCAGUGGUCAAAGUGAGGGGCUAAACCCCUCCGCGCCAUGGAAACGGGGGCUUAUGAGUGGAAGAGAGGUAGGCGGAAUGCGUGGGGUAGCGGUGAAAUGCAUAG
RNAcentral lists this ribosomal RNA (358 nucleotides) under uncultured bacterium. RNAcentral describes it as "partial 16S ribosomal RNA". It matches the Rfam family "Bacterial small subunit ribosomal RNA", at positions 338 to 693 of the family's 1533-position model. The record is from RNAcentral.